Long non-coding RNA from Mastomys coucha (southern multimammate mouse), 583 nucleotides. RefSeq lists it as uncharacterized. Lineage: Eukaryota; Metazoa; Chordata; Mammalia; Rodentia; Muridae. The record is from RefSeq and is a predicted model, not a curated record. The transcript has 2 exons.
UCUUGGAUACGAUCGUCUAAGCGGCCGCUGACGAUCGUAUCCAAGCAGCUGCCUACACCAGAAUGCUCUUUAUUUCCCAGGAUUCUCUCUCUUCCUGCCAGUGUCCCACCUCCCAUGAUUCUGCCUCAGCUCAUUGGCCAUUGGUUUUUUUAUUGACAGGUGAUAUUUCUAAGAGAUUCUCUACAGAAAUUUCUAACACAUCAGAAGGAAACCUCUUGCUCUCUCUUUCUCUGUAGGUACUGGGAAUUGAAUCUGAGUCCUCUAUGAGAGUAGCCAAUGCUCUUAACCACUGAACCAUCUCUCUACCUCCAUCCUUUUUGAGACAAGAUCUUCACAAAGCUCAGGUGGACUCUACUCCCUGCUCGCAGCUUUCCUUGGGGUCGCCACUGGAGCUCCAGCUUCCAUCCCAGAGCUUCAGCUAUCACACCUAAGAAGAGCCUGGAAGGUUUCUUACCCUCAUGUAGUUUCCCAGACUCCCAGGUCUUUCUUUGAAAUCUAGUUGAAAGUUGUUCUACCCUUAACAAUCCAAGACAUUUCUGCACAUUGCAAAACCACAACAUGAAUGAUGCUGAGGUUUUCUGGA